RNAcentral lists this unclassified non-coding RNA (249 nucleotides) under Hevea brasiliensis (rubber tree). Lineage: Eukaryota; Viridiplantae; Streptophyta; Magnoliopsida; Malpighiales; Euphorbiaceae. The record is from RNAcentral.
AUAAUAGGUAACUGUUUUCUUAAGUUGAGGGUUCUGACCCAUUGAUUUAUAGAUGUAAACGUGAUUUCAGCAUUUUUAAUAGACUUGCAGCCUCAUAAAAAUUGGAGAAGCAAAUUUGGUUUGUAAUCUGUGGUACGAGUUGAGUCUUCUGUAUCACCUAAUUUGCCCCUCCAUCGUUAAUGAACUUGUGUGAUGAACAACAGUGGCAAAAUUUAACCCUCCCAGAUGCAUAUAGUAAAUUCUUGGUCC